RNAcentral lists this transfer RNA (71 nucleotides) under Marmota monax (woodchuck). Its description in RNAcentral is "tRNA.Ala". Lineage: Eukaryota; Metazoa; Chordata; Mammalia; Rodentia; Sciuridae. The record is from RNAcentral.
CUGGGGGCUGCUCAGUGGCAGAACAUUUGCCUAGCAUGCAUGAAGCCCUGGGUUCAACCCCAGCACUCAGG